ACGAAGCAGUGAUGUGGAGCGAAACUCAAAAAAUAAGUCUCAGUUCGGAUUGAAGGCUGAAAUUCGCCUUCAUGAAGCCGGAAUUGCUAGUAAUGGCAGGUCAGCAUACUGCCGUGAAUACGUUCCCGGGCCUUGUACACACCGCCCGUCACACCAUGAGAGUUGGGAAUACCCGAAGCCUGUGAGCUAACUUUUAGAGGCAGCAGUCGAAGGUAGAAUCAAUGAUUGGGGUGAAGUCGUAACAAGGUACC
This 251-nucleotide ribosomal RNA is filed under the name uncultured bacterium. RNAcentral describes it as "partial 16S ribosomal RNA". It matches the Rfam family "Bacterial small subunit ribosomal RNA", at positions 1249 to 1500 of the family's 1533-position model. The record is from RNAcentral.